AUCACAAGCGUUUCACUGCCUCAGACUGAGGACACCUCUUCCCCUUCUCCCUUCCUCGCAUGCAGCACCCUUUGCUGGAGAGGGAGCAGUUUAAUUAAGCCGUGAUUAACGCCUCACACACGCCUGGCUGUCACUGAUGGAGCUCUGGGAAUGGCACCGCUGUGAGCUGAGCACCGUGCUGGAGCAGGGAAUGUCCCCUCCGGGUGUCUCAGCUGCUCCCCAGCAGUGCCAGCACAUCUGGCCAGCUGUGUGCGCCCGGAGGGUGCCCUGGCACAGCUGAGCUGCUCCCCAGCUCCAGCCAGGUAACGGCCCUUCCCAAGUCGUGGAAGUCAAGGCAACCAUCAGCUUUGCCUUCCCCAAAAAAGCUGCUCUCAUCAGGAAGCACAGUGCUCUUGUGGGAUUCUCCUGAUGCUGGGGCAGGGAACAACCCACAAACGUCACCGUCAUAUUUUCUGAAAAAUCCUCUUUGCCCAGGAUUUUCUCCUGGGAAGAUGAGAAGCCUCAGCUGCUCCUGUGUUUGUGGUCUGGAGAUUGUUUAUUCAACAUGUGAAUUGUUUUAACUUAAUGGCCAAUCACAGCCAGCUGUUUUGUCACGAAGUUUUAUUAUUCAUUCUUGUUAAGCCUUCUGAUGUAUCCUUUCUCUUUCUUUAGUAUAGUUUUAGUAUAGCAUUCUUUAAUAUAAUACUAUAUCAUAAAAUAAUAAAUCAGCCUCUGGGAACA
RNAcentral lists this long non-coding RNA (720 nucleotides) under Zonotrichia albicollis (white-throated sparrow). RNAcentral's name for it is "lncRNA (ENSZALG00000001162.1)". The record is from RNAcentral. Lineage: Eukaryota; Metazoa; Chordata; Aves; Passeriformes; Passerellidae.